Molecule: small nuclear RNA, 21 nt
Filed under: Arabidopsis thaliana (thale cress)
Lineage: Eukaryota; Viridiplantae; Streptophyta; Magnoliopsida; Brassicales; Brassicaceae
Description: snRNA_14503
Source: RNAcentral
CAUGAAAUCACCGAUACUGAU